Molecule: ribosomal RNA, 780 nt
Filed under: uncultured Neocallimastigales
Lineage: Eukaryota; Fungi; Neocallimastigomycota; Neocallimastigomycetes; Neocallimastigales
Description: partial large subunit ribosomal RNA
Rfam family: Eukaryotic large subunit ribosomal RNA
Source: RNAcentral
UAUCUCUGUAGAGUCUGCAUAUCAAUAAGCGGAGGAAAAGAAACUAACAAGGAUUCCCUUAGUAACGGCGAGUGAAGCGGGAAGAGCUCAAAUUUGAAAUCUUCAAGGUUUUACCUUGACGAAUUGUAGUUUAAAGAAGUGUUUUCUGUUGAAGUUUUGGUAAAAGUUCUUUGGAAUAGGACAUCAUAGAGGGUGAGAAUCCCGUAUUUGACCAUUAUUUUCAGCUGUGUGAUACACCUUCAAAGAGUCGGAUUGUUUGGGAAUGCAGUCCAAAAUGGGUGGUAAAUUUCAUCUAAAGCUAAAUAUUGGCGAGAGACCGAUAGCGAACAAGUACCGUGAGGGAAAGAUGAAAAGAACUUUGAAAAGAGAGUUAAACAGUACGUGAAAUUGUCAAAAGGGAAGCGUUUGACACCAGUGUUGUUUUCUCGAAAAUCAAUUAAAAAGAGUUGGAUUUUGUAUGUGUAAUUGACCUUAAUCAGCUUACAUGUCAAUUUUCUUGCUUUUUUUAAUGCACUUUUCGUUUAACAAGUCAACAUCAAUUUCUUUUGUUGUAAAAAGGUCAUUGGAAGGUGGCUUUCUUUUCGGAGAAAGUGUUUAUAGCCCUUGACUCCUGCAAUCGGAGAGACUGAGGUCUGCAGCGUAGAUCCUUCGGGGUUAGAUACAUUUGUGCUAAGUUAGUAGCUUUUCAUAGACAACUUGUUGACUAUGAUUAGUCAUUGUAGGCUUACUUGCUUAUGCUAUUUUACCUACGCUUAGGAUGUUGAAGAUAUGCGCGACACG